CUUAUUGUCUGUGUAUAGGACAUUCUGCUAAGUAGAUUAUCUCCCUUGGCUAGGCGGCCCUCCAUGCAGACAGUUCUACUUCCACGGACUGUCCAAGCCAUUGUUGUUGUGUGUCACGUCAUAUCAUGAAUAUUAAGGGACUCGAGUUAAAGAAUUAUUUGCGAUUACAUGGACAGUAUGUUACUGGAAAAAAGGCGGAUUUGGUUGAAAGGUUAAAAGAUUUCUCUGUAGACUUUUCCAGUAUCAACAUCCUUAAAGAAACCCCAGCUCAGCUAUGUGAGUAGACAAAGUCAUAUAUCUCAUAAUCUACACCAGUUACUGCCCAAAAGAAAUUUCCACAGAAAAUGUUUCAAAGAAUGUUGCAAAAUGUAUUUCAAAACCACCUUGAAAAGAUUGGAAUUGCUAAACAGUUCACAAAAACAUUACAAUUUUUGAGAACAAUAGAGCAACCACAGGAAUAACAGAGAACCAAAAGAAUUUUAGGUUCAGAAUGCCUGGGAUAUUUUUGCAUCCCAAACAUUGCUAUUAGCAGCUGUCUGCUAUCUAUAUUGUAUAUAUAUAUAUAUAUGUAUGUAUUUGAUAAACAUUUCUCUUAUUUUGAGAAAAAGAAAUUUGUAAAUAUAAAAAACCCCAGUAAAUAUUGGUUCACAGCAGUCAAAAGAGCAGAGUAUAAUUGCAGUAAAAAAUGUUUAUAAUUGACUUUCUCAUCUGUUAUCAAAAUAUUAAACAAUAAAGACUAAGUUGAUGUAUAAUACAUACAUUUGUGUGUGUGUGUGUGUGUGUAUUACUAAAACCACCUGGGACAAAACAGACAAAUAGCAGUUUUGAUAAAUGUAUUUUUUGUCAAACCUUUAUUUACAAAGUGAUUGUUUUAUUUAUAUAUUUUCUUCCAUUUGUUUUGCAUAUGUGUUAUUGUGUGAGUGCCAUAAUAUGAAACAAAUGGUGUGAGUAAGAGUUGGAAGAUGGUAAGAUUAUUUUCCAUUUGUUUGACUUUAAGGAAUUUUUUUUCUUUCUUGAAUUAAAGUUUUUAUAUUUCACAUCAAAAUAUAAAUAUUUUUAUAA
This is a long non-coding RNA of Octopus bimaculoides (California two-spot octopus), 1062 nucleotides long. RefSeq lists it as uncharacterized. NCBI's taxonomy places the organism in Eukaryota, Metazoa, Mollusca, Cephalopoda, Octopoda, Octopodidae. The record is from RefSeq and is a predicted model, not a curated record.